Molecule: non-coding RNA, 114 nt
Filed under: Streptosporangium subroseum
Lineage: Bacteria; Bacillati; Actinomycetota; Actinomycetes; Streptosporangiales; Streptosporangiaceae
Description: SAM-IV sequence
Rfam family: SAM (S-adenosyl methionine) riboswitch aptamer
About the family: SAM-IV is a mRNA element that regulates gene expression via direct sensing of S-adenosylmethionine (SAM or AdoMet).
Source: Rfam by way of RNAcentral
GGUUAAGAGUGUCAGUGCAAAGCCCCGGCUGGCUGACCGGCAACCCUCGCACCGCGGCGGGGUGCCCCCGGGGAGAGACCUGGCGGCACGGUGGGCGUGCCGCAAGCGCGAACC